GGAUGAGAGGGUGAUCUGGCUGCAACAUCGGUCAUCCUGUUGAUCUUCAGACUUGAUCUGACUAAUCUGGUCCAUUUGGUGGGUAUUACCUUCCUCCCUCAUCACUUCCUUCCCGAAAAUGCAUAAAGAUGGUAGAAGAGGACAACCAUACUUGAUAGAAGGAGUGUCAUUCUUCAGUCAAGGUUAUAUGAUAGCUGCUCUCUCCUGCUAGAACCUUUAAACAAGCUCAUAUACUAAAUAUCACUCGUUACAGGGACUGCUCCAAACAAGUGUUAUAGCAGUGUUCCCUU
RNAcentral lists this small RNA (290 nucleotides) under Salvator merianae (Argentine black and white tegu). Its description in RNAcentral is "7SK RNA (ENSSMRG00000018710.1)". It matches the Rfam family "7SK RNA". Rfam says of the family: 7SK was discovered as an abundant small nuclear RNA in the mid-70s but a possible function has only recently been suggested. Two independent studies have found that 7SK RNA binds the CDK9/cyclin T complex (known as elongation factor P-TEFb). Lineage: Eukaryota; Metazoa; Chordata; Lepidosauria; Squamata; Teiidae. The record is from RNAcentral.